Molecule: long non-coding RNA, 1112 nt
Organism: Mercenaria mercenaria
Lineage: Eukaryota; Metazoa; Mollusca; Bivalvia; Venerida; Veneridae
Exons: 2
Source: RefSeq, a predicted model, not a curated record
AAGUCUUGAAAUUUGGAACACUCAAAAAUGGCACAUUGGUGGGCGCCAAAAUCACUCUGUGAUCUCUUGUUAACCCUUAGCCUGCUAAAUUUCUGAAAUGGACUAUGCCAUCAUUCAAUUUGGGCAAUACCAUUUAUUAAUCGAACAGGUGUUCACUGAAAAUUUACUGACUGAAUAGCAAACAGUGCAAAACCAUGAUCAGCCUGCUGAUCUUGGUCUGCACUGGUCGCAAAGGCAAAACCACUUGCCGCCAGCAGGCUAAAGGUUAAUAAACUGGGAAAGAAACAUAUCUGUAAAAAUGAUGGAUUUAGUUGAUUGUGAUGUUAAACAAAUAUGCAUGUAGCGUAUAGAGUGACAUAUAGCCAAAGUACUUCUUUAGAAGGUGGUAGUCUAGUUUCAUAGACCACAACCUGUUUAUUCUUUGCUUAUUUCUUUAUUCUCGUAGCCAAAUCGUACCGGUAAUUGUAAAGAUUUUUUUUUAUUGAAAAUAGAAAAUUAUUUUAAUAUUUUUCAUUGUAAAAUUUGUAAGUAAUGUCUUGUCAAUGUAUAAAAAAUAUUUUGUGAUUUAAACAACAUACACAAAUAUAUACAGAAGUACAUAGCAACUAUAUGAAGAGAGACAAUAUGAUAUCACUGACAUAAUAUUAUACAGUUGAAUCAAAUACAUAUGAGCCACGCCAUGAGAAAACCAACAUAGUGGGUUUGCAACCAGCAUGGAUCCAGACCAGCCUGCGCAUCCACGCAGUCUGGUCAGGAUCCGUGCUGUUCGCUAACAGUUUCUGUAAUUGCAAUAGGCUUUGAAGGCAAGCAGCAUGGAUCCUGACCAGACUGCGGGGAUGUACAGGCUGGUCUAGAUCCAUGCUGGGCGCAAACUCUCUAUGUUUGUUUUCUCAUGGCACAGCUCAAAUUUUUGUAUGAAACAAUUAUUGGAACAGUGAAAAGAAUAUACAUGUGUAAUUCAGGCUUCGGGCAUAUACAUAGUGUGCCAGUCUGAAUAUUUUUUUGUGGAACAGCUUGUCACUUUGAACAAAGUAGGAAAUAUGGAAAUGUGAUAUAAUAUAAGCAUGAUUAAUUUGUUGAGAGGCUUAUUUUUAAUAAAACAUAUUUCAUAG